AUGGGUUUCACUUUUUAUUUUUUACUCCAUAGGCAUUUGUUUCAUACAAAGGGAGUUGGCUUGCAAGAACUUCCUAAGGAUGAAAUGAAAAGGGAAAAGAGAAAAUAUACAGCAAAGACAGAUGGAAAGAGCCUCAGAAGUGCCAUUCCAAAGAUUCGGUCUAAAACAGAUUAUAAGAAGCCUCCAGACAGUGAUGAAAAAUUGAGGAAAAAAUUCUUCACUCCAGCCCUGGACAGCUUGUUGUAUGAAGAAGAAGAGUUCCAGGCAUACUCAAAACUGGGACCUCUGAAGAGAAAGCUGCUUGUGGUUGGAAAAGCUGUGUCUACUUGUAAGGAAACAGAAGAAAUGCCAAGCUGGAGCCACAGAGAAGGGGGUACUGUUGGUAAAUCAGAUGGGCGUAUCACAGCUAAGAUGAUCAAGGCCUUAUUUAAGGAAAAUGAUGAAAACUAGACAAGCUGUGCUGUUUACACAGAAAUGUAACAUUCUUAGUUCAUUAAAUAUUUGAUCUCUUCUGUGUGGCAUGGGGCUUUGAGGAAACUAUUUUAGAGUGCCUGAAUCAUGAGUAUAAGUUUCAUGAGAGGUAUGUCUGUGUGCAGAGGCUAAUUGAAAGGUUCCUUUCCUUACCACUGAGAGAGGUCUUGUGCACUCUCUGGGGUAUUCAGUCUACAUAGCACAUAUAUCUACUAAAAGGUCUAAGCUAAUAUUUAGUUUGUGUGGUCUCCACUUGCAGAUGUGGAAUUCCCUCUUGAUCAGACAGUGAAUGGGUAAAUGCAGGCUGCCAUAAAACACAGAACUGUUGCAAAAUACAUAAUGCUCUGCUAAAGCAGAAUUAAUUUUUGCAAGCGUAAUUCAACUAUUGCUAUAAAUUCAGUGUCUGAAUGCUUUUUUAUCUGUCUCCACAGGACCCCUACUUAAAUACACUGAAAUAAACAAAAACUAAUUUAUAACGAAUUUAAAACCAGCAUAAAUAUCUCUAAGGUCUGAAAUAUUUUGUCUGUUUAGAAUUGGCCAAAUAUAUUGUGUAAGCCCUUAUCCUUGGUUUGUGGCUGGUCCCUUUGAACAUUUAUCCCAGUGCAUUGAUGCAGUGGAGGUUCUCCCUCUGAACACCCUCUCAGCAGCAUACAACAGGUCCUUCCCACAUAUAGGCUCUGACCCAUUCAUUUCCUCAUUAGAAACUUGUGACAGCAUUGAAUAAUCAAUUUAAACCCUUGACAGGAU
Camarhynchus parvulus is the source of this 1218-nucleotide long non-coding RNA. Lineage: Eukaryota; Metazoa; Chordata; Aves; Passeriformes; Thraupidae. The record is from Ensembl.